RNAcentral lists this ribosomal RNA (520 nucleotides) under uncultured bacterium. RNAcentral describes it as "bacterial SSU rRNA". It matches the Rfam family "Bacterial small subunit ribosomal RNA", at positions 120 to 674 of the family's 1533-position model. The record is from RNAcentral.
GGGAACGUACCCUUUGGUUCGGAAUAACGCUGGGAAACUAGCGCUAAUACCGGAUACGCCCUUUUGGGGAAAGGCUUGCUGCCGAAGGGUCGGCCCGCGUCUGAUUAGCUAGUUGGUGGGGUAAUGGCCUACCAAGGCGACGAUCAGUAGCUGGUCUGAGAGGAUGAUCAGCCACACUGGGACUGAGACACGGCCCAGACUCCUACGGGAGGCAGCAGUGGGGAAUAUUGGACAAUGGGCGCAAGCCUGAUCCAGCCAUGCCGCGUGAGUGAUGAAGGCCUUAGGGUUGUAAAGCUCUUUUGUCCGGGACGAUAAUGACGGUACCGGAAGAAUAAGCCCCGGCUAACUUCGUGCCAGCAGCCGCGGUAAUACGAAGGGGGCUAGCGUUGCUCGGAAUCACUGGGCGUAAAGGGCGCGUAGGCGGCCAUUCAAGUCGGGGGUGAAAGCCUGUGGCUCAACCACAGAAUUGCCUUCGAUACUGUUUGGCUUGAGUAUGGCAGAGGUCAGUGGAACUGCGAGU